ACGCUGGCGGCGUGCCUAACACAUGCAAGUCGAACGGGGUAAAGAGCUUCGGUUCUUUACUUAGUGGCGAACGGGUGAGUAACGCGUGAGAAACCUGCCUUUCAGUGGGGGACAACAGUUGGAAACGACUGCUAAUACCGCAUAAUGUAUCGAGAGGGCAUCCUCUUGAUACCAAAGAUUUAUUGCUGAAAGAUGGUCUCGCGUCUGAUUAGCUAGUUGGUGGGGUAACGGCCCACCAAGGCGACGAUCAGUAGCCGGUCUGAGAGGAUGAACGGCCACAUUGGGACUGAGACACGGCCCAAACUCCUACGGGAGGCAGCAGUGGGGAAUCUUCCGCAAUGGGCGCAAGCCUGACGGAGCAACGCCGCGUGAGUGAAGAAGGUUUUCGGAUCGUAAAGCUCUGUUGAGAGGGACGAGAGAUAUAAUCAGGAAAUGGGUUAUAGAGGACGGUACCUUUCGAGGAAGCCACGGCUAACUACGUG
This 482-nucleotide ribosomal RNA is filed under the name uncultured bacterium. Its description in RNAcentral is "bacterial SSU rRNA". It matches the Rfam family "Bacterial small subunit ribosomal RNA", at positions 33 to 507 of the family's 1533-position model. The record is from RNAcentral.